RNAcentral lists this ribosomal RNA (374 nucleotides) under uncultured organism. Its description in RNAcentral is "bacterial SSU rRNA". It matches the Rfam family "Bacterial small subunit ribosomal RNA", at positions 526 to 896 of the family's 1533-position model. The record is from RNAcentral.
CGGGGGGAGCAAGCGUUGUUCGGAUUUACCGGGCGUAAAGGGCGCGUAGGCGGCCACCGCAAGUCGACUGUGAAAUCUCCGGGCUUAACCCGGAAAGGUCAGCCGAUACUGCGGGGCUAGAGUGCAGAAGGGGCAACUGGAAUUCUCGGUGUAGCGGUGAAAUGCGUAGAUAUCGAGAGGAACACCUGCGGCGAAGGCGGGUUGCUGGGCUGACACCGACGCUGAGGCGCGAAAGCUAGGGGAGCGAACGGGAUUAGAUACCCCGGUAGUCCUAGCCUUAAGCGAUGAAUGCUUGGUGUCUGGGGUUUUAUAGUCCCCGGGUGCCGUCGCUAACGCUUUAAGCAUUCCGCCUGGGGAGUACGGUCGCAAGACUG